AGGGCAGCUUGGACUUGGAGACUUGAGGCCCUGGUUUCUCUCACAGUGUUGAGAGCAGGGAGGAGCUGAGUAAUUUCUGGAAAUUUCUUAGCUAUUUUCUGAUCAGUAUUUUGGUAUUUUUCUAUGUAUCUCUUGGAUUUUAAGGUGUAACAAAAAACUCCAGUUCCUGAGACAAAGAAACAGCUGCUCAUUAUUUGUUAUAAGCAUGGAGAAUAUGAUCUGGCUUUAAGAUUGACAAAAAUAUACCAGUUUACGAGUGAGUAAUGCUUUCAUUAACUCAAAUUCGGAAGUUGGUGGAUGAUGCAUGCCAUUCUCUCAGAUAAAUUCUCCUCUCUGGGCAGGGUUCUGCCUGAAGGUUGAGCACCCAGAUGCCUUGUUUUUGUGCCAUCGGUUACAAAGUCAGGGAUAUGACCACUGUUACUUCAAAAAAUCUUGGUGGGCACUAGCAUAGUCUUCAAUUCUCAAUGCAGGCUGCUCAAACAGCAUUAUUUCAAGCCAGCUUGUAAUAAAGGAUUCUGAAAUGACAGAAUAUUUGAUUUGUCUAUGAAUGACAGAUGAUAAUUUUACAUGAUUCCUUAUUUUUAGCGAAUGAGUAUUCUAUUGUGACGUU
Long non-coding RNA from Dioscorea cayenensis subsp. rotundata (Guinea yam), 610 nucleotides. RefSeq lists it as uncharacterized. NCBI's taxonomy places the organism in Eukaryota, Viridiplantae, Streptophyta, Magnoliopsida, Dioscoreales, Dioscoreaceae. The transcript is spliced from 2 exons. The record is from RefSeq and is a predicted model, not a curated record.